RNAcentral lists this ribosomal RNA (301 nucleotides) under uncultured bacterium. RNAcentral describes it as "partial 16S ribosomal RNA". It matches the Rfam family "Bacterial small subunit ribosomal RNA", at positions 509 to 807 of the family's 1533-position model. The record is from RNAcentral.
CAGUAGCCGCGGGAAUACGAAGGGGGCUAGCGUUGCUCGGAAUGACUGGGCGUAAAGGGCGCGUAGGCGGCGAUCAAAGUCAGGCGUGAAAUUCCUGGGCUCAACCUGGGGGCUGCGUUUGAUACGGGCAGUCUAGAGUGAGGAAGAGGGUUGUGGAAUUCCCAGUGUAGAGGUGAAAUUCGUAGAUAUUCGGAAGAACACCAGUGGCGAAGGCGACACACUGGCUCAUUACUGACGCUGAGGCUCGAAAGCGUGGGGGGCAAACAGGAUUAGAUACCCCCGUAGUCCCUGUCUCUUAUAC